RNAcentral lists this long non-coding RNA (1181 nucleotides) under Anser brachyrhynchus (Pink-footed goose). Its description in RNAcentral is "lncRNA (ENSABRG00000016922.1)". The record is from RNAcentral. Lineage: Eukaryota; Metazoa; Chordata; Aves; Anseriformes; Anatidae.
AGCUGAACUAAACAGCACGAUUUGAUUAGCAGCAAAGAGUGACCGGAUCAAAACUGAUUAACUCAUAACUCAAUCUGCUUUAUCUUCACUGCCAUGUCAGUUCCAGCAGUUGACCAUUAACAUCUUUAAUACCAAGCAGGGUUUGGGUUCACUCAACACUUCCCUACAGCUUUAGGGAAUUCUGUGCUUCACAGCAGUGUCAUAACACAUCUAAAGCAAGCACGGAAGCAGGGGCACUGCUUUAAUGAGGAGGAGCUGUUUGAUGAAGAAGCUCCAGCACUGUAAGGUGCUCAGCAUUUCUGAAAGAUGUCAAACAUUCCUGAAGGAUAAUGACUGCCCUCCAGCGCCGCUGAUGGCAGGGAACAAGAAGCACUCGGUGCCUCACAGUGGAGCUCAGCACCAUGCAGAAUUGAGCCUUGGCUAAGGAAGAAGUCCUACAGAAAAAAAAAGGAACAUGAUGAUUUGACUGAAGAGACCAAUAUACACCUGGAGUAAACUCCUCAGAGGACUUCUCUCCUUGCAAAACAGCAGUGUGUUGUGCACACGGCAGCACUCUGCACAGCCCUUACCACUUGCAGACUUACUUGGCUUGCUCCUCUUGCAUGCUCUUGGGAUCAGGAGUGAAGGCACAGACCUGAAACGUAAUGCUGGCAAUCUUCAGGUGAUGCAUGGCCUACUGCAGCUUUUUGUCAGUAGCGAGGGUGGUUAUUGGUGAUACACCAUGCUGGUAUUAAAUGUGACUUACAACAAAGCCUCAUACCUGUUUGAACUCUGCUACACGUGUAAAGUUUUCACGCUCUUGUAGUUUCAGUGGUGUAAUUACAUUCUAAUGAAAAAAUAUCCAGUGUAAACAAGCACUUGGGGACCACUGCCAGAUGACACAGGUCAGAGAAGCUCUCAUGUUGCUCAAAUCUGUGUCCAAGGCUGGGCAGAGAAUCAGGGAGCUGCAGCUGACUCGCAGACAGUGAUGGAUCUUUUGCUGCACUUGAUCUUAGUGACAUGCUCCAGGGAAUCUACCUGGUGUUUAUCAGAGGUCUUGUGAGGCUGAUGGGUGUCUUAAAGCUCCAGGUGAGAAUCCCACUGGAGGGGAUAUUUGGGUGGAUUUGAAAACCAAUAUAAACUAGAGAAGUUCUCAGUUUCCUUUGCAUCCAUGUGAUACUACCUUAAUACAGGCAGCCCUG